GACGAACGCUGGCGGCGUGCCUAAUACAUGCAAGUCGAACGCAGUUGCGAACGGGUGCGUAUCGCGUAGUCAACUGCCUCAUAGCGGGGGAUAAAUCUUGGAAACGAUAGCUAAUACCGCAUACUGUGGGAUGGACCUGCUUUGUAUUAGCUAGUUGGGUAGGUAAAGCCGCAACAAGGCGACGAUACAUAGCCGACCUGAGAGGGUGGUCGGCCACACUGGGACUGAGACACGGCCCAGACUCCUACGGGAGGCAGCAGUAGGGAAUCUUCGGCAAUGGACGGAAGUCUGACCGAGCAACGCCGCGUGAGUGAAGAUGUUUUUCGGAUCGUAAAGCUCUGUUGUUAGAGAAGCGGUAACUAACGAGAAAGGGCCGGCUAACUACGUGCCAGCAGCCGCGGUAAUAC
This 407-nucleotide ribosomal RNA is filed under the name uncultured bacterium. RNAcentral's name for it is "partial 16S ribosomal RNA". It matches the Rfam family "Bacterial small subunit ribosomal RNA", at positions 28 to 526 of the family's 1533-position model. The record is from RNAcentral.